This 391-nucleotide long non-coding RNA is filed under the name Ananas comosus (pineapple). RNAcentral describes it as "long non-coding RNA (ACOM_LNC024731)". The record is from RNAcentral. Lineage: Eukaryota; Viridiplantae; Streptophyta; Magnoliopsida; Poales; Bromeliaceae.
AAAGGCUUUUUAAAUAAGAAUUGUCUAUUUCAGAGAUAGAUACAAGUUCAGGUAUAAAUUUGGGGUAAACUAAUUUUGCGUUUGGUUGAAAAUUGAGUUAUUUUCGAAAAUAAGAAAAAUAGCGUUUGGAUAGAUAAGAUGGAAUAAUAAGAAUAGUAGAUAAUUUAUAAAUAAAAAAAUAAUGAUAUUACCCUUAUAUUUGUAGUAUCCCUGGUAUUCUGUAGCCUGUGUGAUUUCAGCAUCUGAGACUUGUCGACAGAUCUGGAGAGUGUCGGUACAAGUCCGAGUCGUUUCGGCGCGAAAUAAACUCAAAACGGACUCAGCGUGACGCAAGAGUAGAGUUUUAAUAUUGGAAUCUGCAAAGUGUAGGUUUUCAGUAUUUAGUACUGGU